UGGGGAAUAUUGCACAAUGGGCGAAAGCCUGAUGCAGCAACGCCGCGUGAACGAUGAAGGUUUUCGGCUCGUAAAGCUCUGUUGCAGGGGAAGAUAAUGACGGUACCCUGUGAUGAAGCCCCGGCUAACUACGUGCCAGCAGCCGCGGUAAUACGUAGGGGGCUAGCGUUAUCCGGAUUUACUGGGCGUAAAGGGUGCGUAGGUGGUCUUUCAAGUCGGUGGUUAAAGGCUACGGCUCAACCGUAGUUAGCCUCCGAAACUGGAAGACUAGAGUGCAGGAGAGGAAAAUGGAAUUCCCAGUGUAGCGGUGAAAUGCGUAGAUAUUGGGAGGAACACCAGUAGCGAAGGCGGCUUUCUAGACUGCAACUGACACUGAGGCACGAAAGCGUGGGUAGCAAACAGG
Molecule: ribosomal RNA, 403 nt
Filed under: Verrucomicrobiota bacterium
Lineage: Bacteria; Pseudomonadati; Verrucomicrobiota
Description: Verrucomicrobia bacterium partial 16S ribosomal RNA
Rfam family: Bacterial small subunit ribosomal RNA
Source: RNAcentral